RNAcentral lists this ribosomal RNA (468 nucleotides) under uncultured bacterium. RNAcentral's name for it is "partial 16S ribosomal RNA". It matches the Rfam family "Bacterial small subunit ribosomal RNA", at positions 28 to 507 of the family's 1533-position model. The record is from RNAcentral.
GAUGAACGCUGGCGGCGUGCUUAACACAUGCAAGUCGAACGGAAAGGCCCUGCGUUUGUGGGGUGCUCGAGUGGCGAACGGGUGAGUAACACGUGAGUAUACUGCCCUUGACUUUGGGAUAACUUCAGGAAACUGGGGCUAUUACAGGAUAGGAGCUCCUGCUGCAUGGUGGGGAUUGGAAAGUUUCGGCGGUUGGGGAUGGACUCGAGGCUUAUCAGCUUGUUGGUGGGGUAGUGGCUUACCAAGGCUGUGACGGGUAGCCGGCCUGAGAGGGUGACCGGCCACAUUGGGACUGAGAGACGGAGCAGACGCCUACGGGAGGCAGCAGUCGAGAAUAUUGCACAAUGAGCGGAAGUCUGAUGCAGCAACGCCGCGUGCGUGAUGACGGCCUUCGAGUUGUAAACCGCUGUCGCCUGUGACGAGGCGUGAGUGACGGUAAUGGGUAAGGAAGCACCGGCUAACUACGUG